UGUGAAAUGGGUGGGCCGAGGGCAG
RNAcentral lists this non-coding RNA (25 nucleotides) under Mus musculus (house mouse). Lineage: Eukaryota; Metazoa; Chordata; Mammalia; Rodentia; Muridae. The record is from RNAcentral.